Molecule: non-coding RNA, 625 nt
Filed under: Pan troglodytes (chimpanzee)
Lineage: Eukaryota; Metazoa; Chordata; Mammalia; Primates; Hominidae
Source: RNAcentral
AACCAGAGGUCAUUCCCUCUCUCUGCUAAGUACCUGAUUGCCUUGCAAGAAGGAAGAGGUUUUAAAAGUUUUCAAAGCUAACAGGUGUCCAAAGGAGAUUACACCUGCAAAUCAGAUUUAUAAUGUACAACCUGAAACAUUCCAUUGAUGAUAAAUGAACUUAACUGAAACAGAAGCACAUGUUCUUGAACUGUGCCAGCAGAUUUUACAGUUUCUAGAGGAACCACAGAAUUCCUUCUGCUUGAGAAGUCAUUCAGAUAACCUAAACAGGUUACUGAGGUGUGGUUCUAACACUGUGUUUUAUUUUGAGGAGGAUAGUAGGGAAUAGAAGAAAAAGGAGGGGGCAAAUAGGAUUUUUAGCUGACAAGUAUUUUAUAAUUCUAAAUUUUAGCAUUUGCUUUGAUGCAUGUUUAAAGUUUCAAAUGAUGUUUACUGUGCAAAUGGACUUACUCACUUAAUCUACUAGUCCCAUGACAGAAGACUCACCAUGGACAUUGGUACAUGCUGGUUAACUGUAUUGACUUGGAUUUACAAAGUGUGAUAACGAACUAAUACAGACAGCAUGACAUCAUUGUGUGGAUACACAUUAGCAAGCUUGAAGACUACAGGAAAUAAAACUGGAAAG